CAGCAGCCGCGGGAAUACGUAGGUGGCAAGCGUUGUCCGGAAUUAUCGGGCGUAAAGGGCUCGCAGGCGGUUUCUUAAGUCUGAUGUGAAAGCCCCCGGCUCAGCCGGGGAGGGUCAUUGGAAACUGGGAAACUUGAGUGCAGAAGAGGAGAGUGGAAUUCCACGUGUAGCGGUGAAAUGCGUAGAGAUGUGGAAGAACACCAGUGGCGAAGGCGACUCUCUGGUCUGUGACUGACGCUGAGGAGCGAAAGCGUGGGGAGCGAACAGGAUUAGAGACCCCUGUAGUCCCUGUCUCUUAUAC
This 301-nucleotide ribosomal RNA is filed under the name uncultured bacterium. Its description in RNAcentral is "partial 16S ribosomal RNA". It matches the Rfam family "Bacterial small subunit ribosomal RNA", at positions 509 to 807 of the family's 1533-position model. The record is from RNAcentral.